This 416-nucleotide ribosomal RNA is filed under the name alpha proteobacterium SCGC AAA027-E06. RNAcentral's name for it is "bacterial SSU rRNA". It matches the Rfam family "Bacterial small subunit ribosomal RNA", at positions 355 to 787 of the family's 1533-position model. Lineage: Bacteria; Pseudomonadati; Pseudomonadota; Alphaproteobacteria. The record is from RNAcentral.
UGGGGAAUCUUGCACAAUGGAGGAAACUCUGAUGCAGCGAUGCCGCGUGAGUGAAGAAGGCCUUUGGGUUGUAAAGCUCUUUUGUAGGGGAAGAUAAUGACUGUACCCUAAGAAUAAGGUCCGGCUAACUUCGUGCCAGCAGCCGCGGUAAUACGAAGGGACCUAGCGUAGUUCGGAAUUACUGGGCGUAAAGCGCGCGUAGGCCGUUGAGUUAGUUAAUUGUGAAAUCCCAAAGCUUAACUUUGGAACUGCAAUUAAAAACUGCUCGACUAGAGUUUGAUAGAGGAAAGCGGAAUACAUAGUGUAGAGGUGAAAUUCGUAGAUAUUAUGUAGAACACCAGUUGCGAAGGCGGCUUUCUGGAUCAACACUGACGCUGAGGCGCGAAAGUAUGGGUAGCAAAGAGGAUUAGAUACCC